AAUCGAAACUUGAAUUGUGAAUUAUAUCAAUGAAUGAAUGCUUAUGCUUAUGCUUAGGAACCGUGAAUUAUGCGUUGGAGCACUUGGUAGGUCUUGGAUGAUGGACAUGCCAUGUCUAAAAAUGGUUUUCUUCUUGGUAUUAUAGGUGAUUUGUGGAGGAAGCGGCUCGGCUUUGAAGGAAAUGAAGGUGGCGGAUGUUACUGUUUGGGAAUUUGGGUUAGGUGUUAGAACAUAGGCCACAAGUUCAUAUAUUUUUGUGUUUUCUUCGUGUGUAAAGCAUUAACGGUGGUUAUGCUUGGUUCUUGAUUUUGAAUGGAGAAUUAGUGAUAAUUUAGAUUGGUUAUUGUAAACUGAAACAAAAGGUUGAAUGUUGUCAUGUAAUAUUGUAUAGAUUGGUUAGGAUGGAAAGUGGUGUAAUGGUUGUAUUUAAAUGUUGAUUUUUUUAGAAAAGGAUACUGUAUGAGAAUGGUUUUGAAGUUUUAGUUCAUAAAAGGUGUAGAAAUGGCAAAUGCAUGGUCAUGUAAUGAAUAAAGAAUGGAGAUGUUGAAUUAUGAUGUGAAAUACUUGUAGAGCUGAUGCCCAUGUAUGAUGCAAGAUGCUUAUAUAUACAAGUAUAACAACAUUAUGAUGAUAGGUUCUCAAAGCUUAAUGUUC
This 654-nucleotide long non-coding RNA is filed under the name Lathyrus oleraceus (garden pea). Its description in RNAcentral is "Pisum sativum (pea) long non-coding RNA (PSAT_LNC016067)". Lineage: Eukaryota; Viridiplantae; Streptophyta; Magnoliopsida; Fabales; Fabaceae. The record is from RNAcentral.